Molecule: long non-coding RNA, 4081 nt
Filed under: Drosophila guanche
Lineage: Eukaryota; Metazoa; Arthropoda; Insecta; Diptera; Drosophilidae
Source: RNAcentral
GUUCCUUUUUGCAAUAUUUCCAUUUCCAAAUCCGUUAUUAGUGAAAUUCGGAAUAAUUUCCCACUACAUCCAGGUACUCCCUUACAUUUGCAUAGAAACGAGUCGCUGUAGCACAUGUUCGCUUGGAACAUCGAGCAUGCUUGAUGGCAACACUCCCCAUCAGGAAAAUUCCCUCUUUCAUAACAUUCUUGGAGCUCUGGUCUCUGUUAACGGUUUGCAUGCUGCAAGCAUCUUUAACAUGUCUACCGAUGAGGGUCCGCACUUCAGUUUGUCGUGAAAUCUGUAAGACUACGGUUUAGCGGCGGAUAAAUCAGUAAAUUAUUUAGUAAUACACUUAUGUAAAUAUUUAACAAGUAUAAAAAUAUAACACAAAAGGAAUAUGUAAUAGAACAAGGAUUUAACAACACCAAAAAGUGAGAAUUACAUUUUCUGUAUGUGACUAAAUUUUAGUGAGAAAUUAUAAAACAAAUCGGUUGCAAUUUUUUGUUGAAAAUGUUUCAAAUGUACAAAAACAAUACGUGACGUUUUUCCCGCUCUAGGCUAAUUUCAAUAUACCAAAGCCAUCUGCACCAAUCCCAAAUUUGUCAAUUGUCUCAGCGAUGCCAAAACACUUUUAGACUUUAAACUGAUUUUCUGGAAGGAUUUUUUUACGGCUACCAUUUCUUUUUGUUACAGAUUUUUAUGUUAUAAAAAAGGAGUAGAAAAGUAUGCUGAACUGAGCUGCGGAAGCUUCGAUCAUACACAACGUUUAUAUGCACGAUUUUAAAAUUUGAGUCCUGCCCAAUUGGGGAGACAAACAUACUUUGCUCACUCGCUGCCACUCUUUCCUUCUAUCCCUUCUUUACAUUCCAUUACUCAUACUACACUUCUGCUCUCUUUUAUGUGUGCAGUUUACCAAAUGGCCACAUACAAAAGGAGGCCUUCGAUCGAUGAAAGCGGCCCAGGAUCUAGAGGAGUGUUCGAGCACUUUGGUCGGUAACUACAAAACCCGGCGAAGCGGGUAAGUAAAACACGCGAAAGUCAACCCAACUUGGUUUUUUUCCUCCCCUGCCUUUUGUAUGUGCCAUAUGAGUGUUUGGAUCUUUCCAUUUUAUUUUGUAUUCUUUUCUAUUCUGGGUAUUUUAUUGAAUUUUUUCACAUUUUUCAUCAGCAGACGGUGCCGUAGGGCGCGCUUUUGAGGGCUAUUUUGACCUUAAGUUUUUUAGUGGAUGGAAAAAGCUUUCAGCCUCGGGCUGUCGCUGCAGGACUUGUGUAGCUUCUUGUUUGUUUCACUUUUCUCAGUUUUGUGUUUAAAGUUUUAGUAAGGAAGAGCACACAAAACCAAAAAAUUAUAAUUCAAGUUUUGAAACCCAUUAAUCCACUCCCAUUUAUCUUUCUAUAACCCUAUUAUUCCACAGAUUUGUGUCUAGUAAAUUGAAAUUAAUACCCGCAAUAAAUCCACAGGCAGACACUCUAUGACCAAAAUUGUUUCAUCAAUUUGGACCAUCUUAACCACCAGCCACCACAAGGAACCGUUUUUCGUAGAACAAUUAAUUUUCGCACUGUUUCCUCAACCUUAACUAUUCCUUUUUGGGGAGAAUAAAUUAAAAAAUAGACAUGUAGGACAUUUUCCUCAUGCAAUUUAUUUCGUAGAUAAAACACAUAUUAUAAUAUUUUAUUCUAAUGAAGGCCUUCCUGUCAAGUUUUUCUAAAUAAGCCAGUCAAAAUAUUUGCAUACUUGAUUGUACGCUAGAAACUUAAAUGGGGACCAAACAAAAUAUACAAGAAUAUUUUAAACAUUGUAUUAGUGGACGAAAUCUGCACAACAGAACCAAAUCAAGAUAUUACAAUAAGUACAGGAACACAUAGAAUUCAAGGAAUCACGAAAAAGUUUGGCUGGAUUAAAUUAUGAAUACAAAAUAGAGAAGAUUUGAAAAAUCUAUGAAUGGACCUAGUUUGAGAGAAAAUGUUUAUCUUAAAAUGCAAAAGGAAUUUACAUACACAACAAAGCAAAAGUUAUAUUCAAAUCUAAAAUUAAUUGUUAGUGGUCUAAAUGCAGGAUCCGGCUUCUACGGAUGCCAGGACCAACAAGUUCAAGGAAUUACACACAAGCAUCCACAACAGUCACACAAACAUCCUUGGCAUGGCGAAUUUCAAUGCAACUAAUUUAUAUAAUUUGUGUGGGUCUGCUCUAUGCACCUGUAUGUAAUUUCAAGUUUGCUCAUUAGGCUUUAGAUAUGGUAAUUUGAGCGGCAGGACCAUUGGUAGGAAGCCAAACCAAAUCCAUAUGAACAAUUUAUUAGGGUUCAUGCUCCAGUCUGGCCCAACAGCUGGCACAAUUAUCCGUAGUUUAAUGGCAAUGCAAAAUUAUUGUACCUAACUGUCAACUACACACGAAAUACAUAUACAUACAUAUGUACAUAUGUGUUUACAAUCGUUCUUUCGUCUCUUUAUCUCGCCUCUUUCUUUCUUGUCUCUGCUCUGCUGCCGCUCUCUCGCGCGCCAUCACAGCAUUGCUGCCCGCUGUCGCUGUCGCUGUCGCUCACACUAGGGCACGGGCAAUUCGGCCCGCCUGCCCUCCUCUGUCGACGCAUAUACAUACAUACAUUGCUCAAUUGCUGACAUACAAAUCGCGGCCUGUGUAUGAAUCUCGCCUCUCUUUCAGCCUUCCUUAUCGCUUUCUCGAUCUGUCGCUCUCGUUUGCAUGGGCAAUGCUGCCCGUCUGCCCUUCCUGCACAUCGUCGCCGUGAAAAAGCUCGCUAGCUUAACAAUUCCCGUAUGUUCAGUGUCUGAAAUCGAGAUGUUUUCUCACCCACUCCUGACAACUUCCACCGUACAGUAUGCCAAAAUAUGAUUUUGGUAUGGAAUAAGAAAUCAAGACACAAGCUGAUAGCAGUUUGUAAAUGUAAAUAAUUUUGCAAACCUUUUUGGCAAUUUUCCAUUCACAUAUAUUUUAUUUGAGUAGCUCCCAGUCUUUUAACUGCUCGUUACACACCAAGACUACUGGUAUUUUAUGGUACCCUACCUUGUUUGCACACCGUAAAACUAAGUUCCAAAGCUGAAAAAAACCAAACCAAACUGAAACAAACCGAACAGAACCGAGCCGCCUCACAAAUCGUCAGACCCCAGAGAAGGGGAGUCCUUUCGAACAAAAACACACACAAAAAAGUGCUAAAGACUCUGCCAAGCAGAACCAUAGUUUUUGCUGUUCCAUAGCCAGAUGCAACAUUUCUUUUACUUUACCUGGUGCUGAGUGGGUAGAUAUUCUUGUGGCAAUGGCUGUGCUGUCGGCACUACUUGAAGAGAAUUUUCAGGGCAUAUUCCCUGAUUGGGAAUGGCAUUUUUUCCCCCAAGCACAGUAUAUAAUCGCAAAUUGUAUAAGCUGACUAGGAGGCAUAGAGAUAGAAUAGAGGAUGGGGCAUUUUGUGGCCAGCCCAGCGCCCAUCUGUUGACCAAACCAGACUGCUUCCCAUUCUACGCUCCACUCCAUUGCACUGUAGUUCCUUCACCACUUUCACGCAGAGAAAAAACAUAUAUUUUCUUUUUAACUUUAUUAAAUUUACCUGUAUGCUAAAGGUAAAUAAAAGCGCCGACCCUCUUGUCAGCACUUGACCGCCAGCCAACCCGUUCCCAAAUGAGUUUCGGUUGAAGUUGUUCUACUUGAAGGGGUUUUGGGAGUUUACCACUGGUUUUUUUGUAUACAAAAUAUAUUUUUUUGUAUUUUUGGAUCUCUAGCUGUUAUCAUUGAACAUUGAACAUUGCUGGCAUUUUGGACCUUUGGCCCUGGCCGCUGUCUUGAUGCAGAGAAUCUCACGUUGGAAAAGGUAAAUUUUUGCACAAAGUAAAAUCACUUUUAGUCUAUUAACUAAAAUAAUUUCAGAUUUGGUUACAAUGGACAAUUUUAAUCUCGAAGAAGCUGUUCAAGCAUAAAGCAGAAGCCCGAGCUUGAAUUAGAGAAGGAAAAAUAUUAAAAGAAAUGUGAUAACGAAUAAAGAGCUUUAUUUUAAAAUAAGAAAGAAGUAUCUCGAAAUGUUUUUGGUGUUUAAUUCAGCAAAAGUCAGAGCUAGUUUCCCACAAGGGCUUAACAUCUUCGAAUUGCUAG